Molecule: long non-coding RNA, 591 nt
Organism: Mustela lutreola (European mink)
Lineage: Eukaryota; Metazoa; Chordata; Mammalia; Carnivora; Mustelidae
Exons: 3
Source: RefSeq, a predicted model, not a curated record
GAACUAAGGUCGUAUCGCUUUAAAAAUUAAACAGUGUCUCCUUCUGGGCAUGUCUCUCUCCUCCAGAAACUUCAUUGUAGAGAGUGACUGGACAUAGACAGAAGAGAGGUCUAGACAGAAAGACAGAAGCAGACAUGGUGGCAGCGGGUCCGAGGGCUGCAGGGUAUCAGCCCCGUCAGGACCGCCCCGACUCCGGGGAAGAAGCCAAGAGCAUGUUCCGAUGGAGCUACUCAUAAAGCUUCACCGAGGACCACGGAAAGGAGGUUGGUGGGGUCUGCGGCGUGAGACACCAGCCUCAGGGCCCCGGGCUCCCUGCCCCGUCUCUUGAAACCCCAGCUCUGUUAGGCCCGCCAAAACACAGGAUGUGAGCUCUGCUCUUCCAGAAGGAGGUGGGGAAGCCUCCCUCCCCUUCCCGAGCCCGGGCUCUCUCCGGCUCCCACCUUCCCGACUGUGGACUGGGCAGCCCCUUCCCACCUGCCGGCCCAGUGGCAAGUACCAGCCCCACCUUCCAGCACGGUCUUCUCAGGGGAAACCCAGGGCAGGGGCGGCAGGAGCGGGGGUGGGGGCAGCAGGAGAGCCCCUCUGACGCGC